GAUGAACGCUGGCGGCGUGCCUAACACAUGCAAGUCGAACGGGAACAGAAUGAAACCUAGUGAUUUCUGUUUCAGUGGCGGACGGGUGAGUAACGCGUGGGUAACCUGCCUUGCACUGGGGGAUAACACUUAGAAAUAGGUGCUAAUACCGCAUAAGCGCACAGUACCGCAUGGUAGUGUGUGAAAAACUCCGGGGGUGCAAGAUGGACCCGCGUCUGAUUAGCCAGUUGGCGGGGUAACGGCCCACCAAAGCGACGAUCAGUAGCCGGCCUGAGAGGGUGAACGGCCACAUUGGGACUGAGACACGGCCCAA
This 313-nucleotide ribosomal RNA is filed under the name uncultured bacterium. Its description in RNAcentral is "bacterial SSU rRNA". It matches the Rfam family "Bacterial small subunit ribosomal RNA", at positions 28 to 334 of the family's 1533-position model. The record is from RNAcentral.